UGGCUCAGUGGUUAAGAGCACUGGCAGAUUUUUCCAGAUGGCCUGGGUUAAAUUCCCAG
Molecule: transfer RNA, 59 nt
Filed under: Neotoma lepida (desert woodrat)
Lineage: Eukaryota; Metazoa; Chordata; Mammalia; Rodentia; Cricetidae
Source: Rfam by way of RNAcentral